RNAcentral lists this ribosomal RNA (257 nucleotides) under uncultured bacterium. Its description in RNAcentral is "partial 16S ribosomal RNA". It matches the Rfam family "Bacterial small subunit ribosomal RNA", at positions 524 to 776 of the family's 1533-position model. The record is from RNAcentral.
UACGGGGGGGAGCAAGCGUUGUUCGGAUUUACUGGGCGUAAAGGGCGCGUAGGCGGUCGUGACAAGUCACUUGUGAAAUCUCCGGGCUUAACUCGGAACGGUCAAGUGAUACUGUCGGACUAGAGUACAGAAGGGGCAACUGGAAUUCUCGGUGUAGCGGUGAAAUGCGUAGAUAUCGAGAGGAACACCUGCGGCGAAGGCGGGUUGCUGGGGCAGUUGGCUGACACUGAGGCGCGACAGCGUGGGGAGCAAACAGG